UACGGGGGGAGCAAGCGUUGUUCGGAUUUACUGGGCGUAAAGGGCGCGUAGGCGGUCGUGACAAGUCACUUGUGAAAUCUCCGGGCUUAACUCGGAACGGUCAAGUGAUACUGUCGGACUAGAGUACAGAAGGGGCAACUGGAAUUCUCGGGUGUAGCGGUGAAAUGCGUAGAUAUCAGGAGGAACACCGAUGGCGAAGGCAGGUCUCUGGGCUGACACUGACGCUCAUGCACGAAAGCGUGGGGAGCAAACAGG
RNAcentral lists this ribosomal RNA (255 nucleotides) under uncultured bacterium. RNAcentral's name for it is "partial 16S ribosomal RNA". It matches the Rfam family "Bacterial small subunit ribosomal RNA", at positions 524 to 776 of the family's 1533-position model. The record is from RNAcentral.